RNAcentral lists this long non-coding RNA (588 nucleotides) under Rattus norvegicus (Norway rat). Its description in RNAcentral is "long non-coding RNA NONRATT031636". Lineage: Eukaryota; Metazoa; Chordata; Mammalia; Rodentia; Muridae. The record is from RNAcentral.
GCAGACAGCAACUCUUUUGGGGAUUAACUACCCAUGAUCACACCCGCCUUCAAAAGAGGAAUCCGAACUUGAGCGCUGACUGGCUCAGGCUGGCUUGCUCCUGAGCUCACGAUCUGAACCACGGGUACCAGAAAGGGUCUUUGUCUCUUCCUAGGUCCCUAUUUGUGUGUCUUGAGUGACUUUCCUGAGAAGACAUGAACAAAUGUCUAUUUGUGCCAUGUGGGACAGCAGUCACAGACUAAAGAAACAGGGCCAUCAAUAUCUGACUUGGAAGCCCAGCUAGACUGAUGAACCAAUGAGGUUUUGCCAAACAUCGCAGCCCAGCAUGGACAACACCUCACAGAGAAUUCACAUCCCGAGAGCCCCGACACAGCCAGCAGACUGCUCCAUGGAACAGGAACAGUUCACUUUGAAGGAAAUAGCUACACAAUGCUAUGUUGCCACCAUGUUGAUUCUCAGCUUCUCCAAGCCCACCCACCACAACCACUAACUUUCAGACUAUUGGAUACAUUAAAGGUACUUAUGCACACAUUGGCCUUCUGCUAUUACUUCUAAACCUAGCCAUGUCUGCCUGUCUGUCUCUUUGAC